GAGCUAAGCGAGAUUCGGUCUAGAUCGCCCUAGAUCAAGCUUUGAAGUUUGGAUUAAUCUCAGCCGUCUGAUCACAUUCCAGAUCCAAUCAGAGCCGUUAAAAAGGUCAACCUUUGAUCUACCGACCUUCACUCCAAAUCGUCAAGCAUGGAGGAUAUGAGGAUGAUCAGCAAGAGGAGGCGAUCAAGAAAAAGGGGAGGAUCGGUCGUGGGGACGCCGGAAAUCCGGCCGGGUCACCGAUCGGAGGCUGUGGCUCCUUCGAUCCAGCUUUCGGGGCAGCGGCGGAGCAAAGCGACACCAGCGGGAGGCUGGACGUGCGGAGGCGAGUCCAGUGAGGGCCGGUUCCGGGGCCGGAGAACGCCGGAGGAGGAAGAACAGGCCGGGUCGGGUCGAGCUUGACCCGUCGGGUCUGAAGGUCGAGAGAGAGAGAUCGGAGGGACUAUUCCGC
This 448-nucleotide long non-coding RNA is filed under the name Rosa chinensis. Its description in RNAcentral is "sRNA RchiOBHm_Chr1g0330271". The record is from RNAcentral. Lineage: Eukaryota; Viridiplantae; Streptophyta; Magnoliopsida; Rosales; Rosaceae.